GUGGGGAAUAUUGCACAAUGGGGGAAACCCUGAUGCAGCGACGCCGCGUGGGCGAGGAAGUACCUCGGUAUGUAAAGCCCUAUCAGCAGGGAAGAAACAGGACAGUACCUGACUAAGAAGCCCCGGCUAACUACGUGCCAGCAGCCGCGGUAAUACGUAGGGGGCAAGCGUUAUCCGGAUUCACUGGGCGUAAAGGGAGCGCAGGCGGCAUGGCAAGUCUGAUGUGAAAACCCGGGGCCCAACCCCGGGAGUGCAUUGGAAACUGCCAGGCUGGAGUGUCGGAGGGGUAAGCGGAAUUCCUAGUGUAGCGGUGAAAUGCGUAGAUAUUAGGAGGAACACCAGUGGCGAAGGCGGCUUACUGGACGACUACUGACGCUGAGGCUCGAAAGCGUGGGGAGCAAACAGG
This 406-nucleotide ribosomal RNA is filed under the name uncultured bacterium. Its description in RNAcentral is "bacterial SSU rRNA". It matches the Rfam family "Bacterial small subunit ribosomal RNA", at positions 354 to 776 of the family's 1533-position model. The record is from RNAcentral.